UUACGGUCAUAUGACGUUGAAACACCGGUUCUCAUGUGAUCACCGAAGUUAAGCAACGUCGAGCCUGGCCGGUACCUAUAUUGGUGACCUCUUGGGGA
Molecule: non-coding RNA, 98 nt
Organism: Acanthosepion pharaonis
Lineage: Eukaryota; Metazoa; Mollusca; Cephalopoda; Sepiida; Sepiidae
Source: the annotation of a GenBank genome assembly